Small nucleolar RNA from Carlito syrichta (Philippine tarsier), 72 nucleotides. Ensembl annotates it as small nucleolar RNA, C/D box 114-26. Its record names the gene SNORD114-26. The record is from Ensembl. Lineage: Eukaryota; Metazoa; Chordata; Mammalia; Primates; Tarsiidae.
UGGAUCAAUGAUGACUUCUGGUGGAGUAUGAGUCUUAUACGAUGAAUACGUAUCUGGAAUUCUGAGGUCCUU